GACGAACGCUGGCGGCGUGCUUAACACAUGCAAGUCGAACGGAAAGGCCCUGCUUUUGUGGGGUGCUCGAGUGGCGAACGGGUGCGUAACACGUGAGUAACCUGCCCUUGACUUUGGGAUAACUUCAGGAAACUGGGGCUAAUACCGGAUAGGAGCUCCUGCUGCAUGGUGGGGGUUGGAAAGUUUCGGCGGUUGGGGAUGGACUCGCGGCUUAUCAGCUUGUUGGUGGGGUAGUGGCUUACCAAGGCUUUGACGGGUAGCCGGCAUGGGAGGGUGACCGGCCACAUUGGGACUGAGAGACGGCCCAGACUCCUACGGGAGGCAGCAGUGGGAAAUAUUGCACAAUGAGCGGAAGCCUGAUGCAGCAACGCCGCGUGCGGGAUGACGGCCUUCGGGUUGUAAACCGCUGUCGCCUGUGACGAAGCGUGAGUGACGGUAAUGGGUAAAGAAGCACCGGCUAACUACGUG
RNAcentral lists this ribosomal RNA (468 nucleotides) under uncultured bacterium. Its description in RNAcentral is "partial 16S ribosomal RNA". It matches the Rfam family "Bacterial small subunit ribosomal RNA", at positions 28 to 507 of the family's 1533-position model. The record is from RNAcentral.